RNAcentral lists this antisense RNA (191 nucleotides) under Capsicum annuum. RNAcentral's name for it is "Antisense RNA which regulates isiA expression". It matches the Rfam family "Antisense RNA which regulates isiA expression". Lineage: Eukaryota; Viridiplantae; Streptophyta; Magnoliopsida; Solanales; Solanaceae. The record is from Rfam by way of RNAcentral.
AAUAACCAAAUAUGAUACUCGGGCUAAGGGUCAAGUUGGUAAUUUUUCUUACAUCUCCCCUUCCCGGAGCCCAGGUAUCAUAUACGCCCCCAAAAUAAAGAGCCUUAAAUACUAGAAGAAAAGCGUAUAGAUCUAACAAGAUUAAGUGAAUACCUAGUGUUGAUUUGGAUAAAAUGUGCAGGGUUCCUCCA